ACACGGACCAGACUCCUACGGGAGGCAGCAGUGAGGAAUAUUGGUCAAUGGGCGAGAGCCUGAACCAGCCAAGUCGCGUGAAGGAUGACGGCCCUACGGGUUGUAAACUUCUUUUGUCAGGGAGCAAUUGAGUCCACGUGUGGGCUUAGCGAGAGUACCUGAAGAAAAAGCAUCGGCUAACUCCGUGCCAGCAGCCGCGGUAAUACGGAGGAUGCGAGCGUUAUCCGGAUUUAUUGGGUUUAAAGGGUGCGUAGGCGGAAUAUCAAGUCAGCGGUAAAAAUUCGGGGCUCAACCCCGUCGUGCCGUUGAAACUGAUGUUCUUGAGUGGGCGAGAAGUAUGCGGAAUGCGUGGUGUAGCGGUGAAAUGCAUAGAUAUCACGCAGAACUCCGAUUGCGAAGGCAGCAUACCGGCGCCCAACUGACGCUGAAGCACGAAAGCGUGGGUAUCGAACAGGAUUAGAUACCCUGGUAGUCCACGCAGUAAACGAUGAAUGCUAAUUGUCCGGAGGGAUUGACCUCUGGGUGAU
Molecule: ribosomal RNA, 527 nt
Filed under: uncultured bacterium
Lineage: Bacteria
Description: bacterial SSU rRNA
Rfam family: Bacterial small subunit ribosomal RNA
Source: RNAcentral